AGCGGGGCUGGGCGGGGCUCGGGGAUCCCUGGCACCUCGCGGAUGGCUGCGCGGCGGGAGGGAAGGAAGUAGCCGUCCGUCCGCGCCUUUGUCCCACGGGCCCUGGUGGCUUCCUGACCCUCUUGGGGCACAGAGCCCACUGGAAAUCCUGUCUCUUCUGCCUGAGCGCAGCGGCCGCUUCCCCUCUCUUGAUCUUGGCAGUACCUGGUUAGGAGGCCUGAGACGCUUUGCCAGACUUGGGGCUGGGCUGAGCGUUUAAACCAAGUCGGGGCUCUGGGGACUGAUCUGAGGGGCACAGCCCCGCCCACGUGCCUGUCAGGCCACCGGGGGACGGGGGCAGGCGCUCCGUGCCACCAGUGUCCAAGUGCAGCUACCAGGUAGAGACGAGUGCCUGUCUUGACCUCGUCGUGACCUGCGGCUGUGUCACCCUGGGGGGGUCCCAGCCCCCUGAGCGUCCCGUGGGGAGCCAGGAUUGGCCUCAGACCGGCCUGGCCCUGACUGGCCAACGAACUGUCCUGCAGGCCAGCGGAGCCUGCACCACCGCGGAGAUGCCCUGGAGACGCUGGUCCUCCUGAACCCGUCAGACAAGUCCCUGUGUGAUGAGGGGCUCUCCGGCCAGAGGAGGAGCACAGCCAGCCCCAGAUGGCAGGCGACAGCUCCGGAACCUUCUGCUGGUCCCUGCCCCUCAUAAGCUGCUGGUGCUGGCCGGGCCCUGCCUGGAGGAGACCGGGGAGCUGCUGCUGCAGACGGGUGGCUUCUCGUUCCACCACUUUCUGCAGGUCCUGGACGAGAGGGAGGUGAGCUGCCCACCCCCAGCGCAGUGCUGCCGCCCUCCGUGGCCCGGGUCAGGGACCAGUGCCACUUUCCAGGGAGGGGCGUGUACGGCAGGUUUGGUGGCUGCACUGUCACCCCAGCAGUCUGGGAGAAGGGGCAGGAGCCCUGCCCGGGCAAACGAGCAGAGUAGUGAGCAGAGAGCCUGGCUCAUAGUAACAAAAAAGGCAGAGGAUGUGGCUCCUAGGGUAGGCUGGGUUCAGUCCUCAAACAAACAGCUGCAGAUAAAUAAACGGCUUCCACAGUGGGAGGCUGGUGGUGCGGCCACCACCCUGCGCCUCAGCAGGCGUCUCUGAGGCCAGAAGGGGGGCCCAGGUUCCAGCUCCCAGAUGAGAUGGAGCCGCGUGGCGUGGGGCACAUGGAUGAAGAAAGCAGGACUGGGUCAGGGUCCUGGAGGGUGUGGUCAGACAGAAGAGCAAGCUCAAAGGCCCUGGGGCCAGGAGAGGAUGCCAGGGCCCAAGGGUGGUCCCGGGCAGGCCUGGGCUGUGCCCAGAGAGGAGCAGGAAGGGGUGUUCUGGCUGGGCUUUCCGGCUCCAGAAGCCCUUUCCUGCUCCGCGCCGCAGAUCCAGGACCUGUUGGGCCACACC
Molecule: long non-coding RNA, 1418 nt
Filed under: Fukomys damarensis (Damara mole-rat)
Lineage: Eukaryota; Metazoa; Chordata; Mammalia; Rodentia; Bathyergidae
Description: lncRNA (ENSFDAG00000029098.1)
Source: RNAcentral